AGGCCAGGUGUCGCCUCCUGCGCAGUCAUCGCCUUGAGACCCGAGCGUUAUCUCCUGUGGCAGAUGGUCUGGGCGACGCUGUGUGGCCCAGAGCCAUGUGGCAGGCGGGAUAAGCCUCACGCGGGGGGCAGCGCUCUUCGGACAGUGUCUCCAGACCAGACACAACUGCCAUGCAGACAGAAGUUCAGAGUGGGAGCCGUGUGGGCGCCAGACCCCUGCUCCGCACCUGCUAUGGCGUAGGGAACUACCCCGUGAUGCCGCAGGGACGUUGUUCGGUGACAGGCGGCAACGGCACACACGGGGCUGGGUGCCGCGUAACGUGGGCAACAGACAGCAGCUGCGCGUCAGCUGCUGUGUGGUGCUGACAGAUACACACACCAGAUGUAGCCUCCCAGGUUUUCUGAGGGGGCGCCUUCUGUCCUUCAGGGUCAGAGAAACGGGCUGCAUUUCCGAGACAGAGACACAGCCGUUUCCCCUCCCCUUGGCUCGCCUCUUGAGCAGGGGUACUCUGGGGCUUCCCCUUCCCCUGUGGGUGGGCAUAUUGGGCCGGGUCUGCACGCGGGGUCUCGGUGUGCAGUGCUCUGUGGGCGCACGUGACCGGCGGGGGGGGGGGAGGGCGGGGGCAGAUGGCGGAAAGUGGCGUAUCCUCACUUUGGAGCUGGUGUCAUUGGGACUUGGGGUGAGAGGGAAGACCGGCAGUGACAGCUGUGGUUCCGGCCGUGUGGGCUCUGGUGUCCUGUUUGCCGAGGCGAGCUGCCGGCGCACGGAGCAGUGUCCCAGCCUCAGUGCCGGCCUGGGGAGGAUCCUGUGGACCCACAGGAAGUGA
Molecule: long non-coding RNA, 826 nt
Filed under: Mustela putorius furo (domestic ferret)
Lineage: Eukaryota; Metazoa; Chordata; Mammalia; Carnivora; Mustelidae
Description: lncRNA (ENSMPUG00000028246.1)
Source: RNAcentral